This 280-nucleotide long non-coding RNA is filed under the name Gossypium raimondii (Peruvian cotton). Its description in RNAcentral is "long non-coding RNA (GRAI_LNC001157)". The record is from RNAcentral. Lineage: Eukaryota; Viridiplantae; Streptophyta; Magnoliopsida; Malvales; Malvaceae.
UUAUAUAAUAUUAAUGAAAUAAUAUAUUUUAUAAGUAUUAAUAUAAUAACUAUUGUAAUAGGCCCAAUUUGCCCAAGCCCAAAAACACAAACAAAAAAUAAACCAAAUAAAAAAAACAAAUAAACAAAUAAAAAAACAACAAUAGUAGUCCAUUUUUAAAUGUCCAAAUUACAAACCCAAAAUCUAACCCAACCCUCUAAACCCAAUUAGCCUAAGCCCAAUACCAUAACCCAAUACAAUAAGCCCGAUUUUUAAAUACCAAGGCCCAAAAUACCAAAAC